GUCUAUGACCAUACCAUCCUGAACAAGCUAGAUCCCAUCUGAUCCCGGAAGCUAAGCAGGGUUGGGCCUGGUUCGUACUUGGACAGGAGACCACUAAGGAAGACCAGGUGCUGAAGGUG
RNAcentral lists this ribosomal RNA (119 nucleotides) under Pteropus alecto (black flying fox). Lineage: Eukaryota; Metazoa; Chordata; Mammalia; Chiroptera; Pteropodidae. The record is from RNAcentral.